RNAcentral lists this ribosomal RNA (483 nucleotides) under uncultured bacterium. RNAcentral describes it as "bacterial SSU rRNA". It matches the Rfam family "Bacterial small subunit ribosomal RNA", at positions 430 to 905 of the family's 1533-position model. The record is from RNAcentral.
GCUCUUUCGUGAGGGAAGAAACGGUCAAAGUGAAUAGCUUUGGUCACUGACGGUACCUCAAGAAGAAGCACCGGCUAACUACGUGCCAGCAGCCGCGGUAAUACGUAGGGUGCGAGCGUUAAUCGGAAUUACUGGGCGUAAAGCGUGCGCAGGCGGUUUGUUAAGUCAGAUGUGAAAGCCCCGGGCUUAACCUGGGAACUGCGUUUGAGACUGGCAAGCUAGAGUCUGUCAGAGGGGGGUAGAAUUCCACGUGUAGCAGUGAAAUGCGUAGAGAUGUGGAGGAAUACCGAUGGCGAAGGCAGCCCCCUGGGAUAAGACUGACGCUCAUGCACGAAAGCGUGGGGAGCAAACAGGAUUAGAUACCCUGGUAGUCCACGCCCUAAACGAUGUCAACUGGUUGUUGGGUAACUUGUUUACUUAGUAACGAAGCUAACGCGAGAAGUUGACCGCCUGGGGAGUACGGUCGCAAGAUUAAAACUCAAG